Molecule: ribosomal RNA, 358 nt
Filed under: uncultured bacterium
Lineage: Bacteria
Description: partial 16S ribosomal RNA
Rfam family: Bacterial small subunit ribosomal RNA
Source: RNAcentral
CCUACGGGAGGCAGCAGUGAGGAAUAUUGGUCAAUGGACGAGAGUCUGAACCAGCCAAGUAGCGUGAAGGAUGACUGCCCUAUGGGUUGUAAACUUCUUUUAUAUGGGAGUAAAAUGUUCCACGCGUGGGAUUUUGUAUGUACCAUAUGAAUAAGGAUCGGCUAACUCCGUGCCAGCAGCCGCGGUAAUACGGAGGAUCCGAGCGUUACCCGGAUUUAUGGGGUUUAAAGGGAGCGUAGGUGGAUUGUUAAGUCAGUUGUGAAAGUUUGCGGCUCAACCGUAAAAUUGCAGUUGAAACGGGCAGUCUUGAGUACAGUAGGGGUGGGGGGAAUUCGUGGUGUAGCGGGGAAAUGGUUGG